Molecule: ribosomal RNA, 433 nt
Filed under: uncultured bacterium
Lineage: Bacteria
Description: partial 16S ribosomal RNA
Rfam family: Bacterial small subunit ribosomal RNA
Source: RNAcentral
AACGAACGCUGGCGGCAUGCCUAACACAUGCAAGUCGAACGAGACCUUCGGGUCUAUUGGCGCACGAGUGCGUAACGCGUGGGAACCUGCCUUUAGGUUCGGAAUACCUCAGAGAAAUUUAAGCUAAUACCGGAUGAUGUCUUCUGACCAAAGAUUUAUCGCCUUUCGUUGUGCCCGCGUUGGAUUAGCUAGUUGGGUGGGUAAAGGCCUACCAAGGCGACGAUCCGUAGCUGGUCUGAGAGGAUGAUCAGCCACACUGGGAGUGAGACACGGCCCAGACUCCUACGGGAGGCAGCAGUGGGGAAUAUUGGAAAAUGGGCGAAAGCCUGAUCCAGCAAUGCCGCGUGAGUGAUGAAGGUCUUAGGGUUGUAAAGCUCUUUUACCCGAGAUGAUAAUGACAGUAUCGGGAGAAUAAGCUCCGGCUAACUCCGUG